CCAAUCGAACCCGGAGAUAGCUGGUUCUCCUCGAAAUAGCUUUAGGGCUAGCCUCAUGGAUCAUUGAUGGGGGUAGAGCACUGAAUGUGCGCGGGGGCCACAAAGCCUACCAAACGCUAUCAAACUUCGAAUACCAUACAAUGUAGACCAUGGGAGUCAGUCCGCGAGAGAUAAGUUCCGCGGGCAAAAGGGGAACACCCCAGAUCAACCGCUAAGGUCCCCAAGUUCACGUUAAGUGGAGAAGGAUGUGGAAUUGCACAGACAACCAGGAUGUUGGCUCAGAAGCAGCCACACAUUUAAAGAGUGCGUAAUAGCUCACUGGUCGAGUGAUUGUGCGCCGAAGAUGUCCGGGGCUAAACGUGACACCGAAGCGAUGGGUGCAUCUGAAAGGAUGCGCGGUAGAGGAGCAAUGUGCAGAGGCAGAAGCCGUAUCGAGAGGCACGGUGGACACUGCACAAGAGAGAAUGCCGGUAUGAGUAGCGAGAGGCAUGCGAGAAACAUGCCCGUCGAAAGCCCAAGGUUUCCUGGGGAAGGUUCAUCCGCCCAGGGUAAGUCGGGGCCUAAGCCGAGGACGGAAGUCGUAGGCGAUGGACAGCAGGUGUAGAUUCCUGCACUACCGAUGGAAUGAAGCAGUGACACAGAAGGAUAACUCGAGCAGGGUGAUGGUCAACCCUGUGCAAGCAUCGAGGUUGGGUUGUAGUGAAGUACGCAACCCUAUAAGCUGAGGUGUGAUGCGGACCGAAAUUUCAGUAGGGAAGCGAGUGAGUUCACGCUGGCGAGAAAAGCUGCUAGUAUAUCCAAAGGUACCCGUACCGGAAACCGACGCAGGUGGGCGAGGAGAGAAUCCUGAGACGAACGGGAGAACCCUUGUUAAGGAACUCGGCAAAAUGACCCCGUAACUUCGGGAUAAGGGGUGCCUGCGAGAGCAGGCCGCAGAGAAUAGUCACAAGCGACUGUUUAGCAAAAACACAGGUAUCUGCGAAAGCGAGAGCUGACGUAUAGGUGCUGACACCUGCCCGGUGCUGGAAGGUUAAGGGAACAUGUUAGAGCAAUCGAAGCAUCGAACCGAAGCCCCAGUAAACGGCGGCCGUAACUAUAACGGUCCUAAGGUAGCGAAAUUCCUUGUCGGGUAAGUUCCGACCCGCACGAAUGGUGUAACGACUUGUGAGCUGUCUCAACAGGGGGCCCGGUGAAAUUGAAGUAUGGGUGAAGAUGCCCAUUACCCGCGACUGGACGGAAAGACCCCGUAGAGCUUUACUGCAGCCUGAUAUUGAGUUUCGGUAACUGAUGCACAGGAUAGGUGGGAGUCUGAGAGACAUGGGUUUCGGCUCGUGUGGAGACGAUGUUGGGAUACCACUCUUCGGUUACUGAAAUUCUAACAUAGCUCUGUGAAACCAGAGGAUGGACAGUGUCAGGUGGACAGUUUGACUGGGGCGGUCGCCUCCGAAAGAGUAACGGAGGCGCCCAAAGGUACCCUCAGAAUGGAUGGAAACCAUUCGAAGAGCGCAAAGGCAGAAGGGUGCCUGACUGCGAGAUUGACAAAUCGAGCAGAGACGAAAGUCGGGCUUAGUGAUCCGGCGGUAUUGAGUGGAAAAGCCGUCGCUUAACGGAUAAAAGCUACCUCGGGGAUAACAGGCUGAUCUCCCCCAAGAGUCCACAUCGACGGGGAGGUUUGGCAC
RNAcentral lists this ribosomal RNA (1679 nucleotides) under human gut metagenome. RNAcentral describes it as "bacterial LSU rRNA". It matches the Rfam family "Bacterial large subunit ribosomal RNA", at positions 829 to 2524 of the family's 2925-position model. The record is from RNAcentral.